GUACUUCUGAGGAGUCCCAAACCAGGACGAAACAGAUGUCCAGUAC
This is a non-coding RNA of Trichobilharzia regenti, 46 nucleotides long. The record is from Rfam. Lineage: Eukaryota; Metazoa; Platyhelminthes; Trematoda; Strigeidida; Schistosomatidae.